AAUUUUUAACCAUUUUUGUCGAGCCUGCAACUUUUGUUGCAGAAAGCUCGACAUAGGGAUAGUGAUCCGGCGGCGGCUACGGCGGCGGCGGCGUUAGCUAACUUCUUAAAACCUUUAUAUUUUAGAAGGUGGAAGACCUGGAUGCUUCAUACUUUGUAUAUAGAUGCCUCAUGUUACGAAAUUUCCGUCAGUCACAUGUCCAAUGUCCUUGACCUCAUUUUCAUGGUUCAGUGACCACUUGAAAAAAAAGUUCAGAUUUUUUGUAAUGUUGAAUUCUCUCUUAUAAUAAGUAAUAGGAUAACUAUAUUUGAUAUGUGCGUACCUUGCAAGGUCUUCAUGUCUGUCAGACAGUUUUCACUUGACCUCGACCUCAUUUCAUGGAUCAGUGAACAAGGUUAAGUUUUGGUGGUCAAGUCCAUAUCUCAGAUACUAUAAGCAAUAGGGCUAGUAUAUUCGGUGUAUGGAAGGACUGUAAGGUGUACAUUUCCAACUGGCAGGUGUCAUCUGACCUUGACCUCAUUUUCAUGGUUCAGUGGUUAUAGUUAAAUUUUUGUCGAGCCUGCAACUUUUGUUGCAGAAAGCUCGACAUAGG
RNAcentral lists this long non-coding RNA (592 nucleotides) under Mytilus galloprovincialis (Mediterranean mussel). Lineage: Eukaryota; Metazoa; Mollusca; Bivalvia; Mytilida; Mytilidae. The record is from RNAcentral.